RNAcentral lists this ribosomal RNA (253 nucleotides) under uncultured bacterium. RNAcentral describes it as "partial 16S ribosomal RNA". It matches the Rfam family "Bacterial small subunit ribosomal RNA", at positions 524 to 776 of the family's 1533-position model. The record is from RNAcentral.
UACGGGGGGGGCGAGCGUUGUUCGGAAUUACUGGGCGUAAAGGGCUCGUAGGCGGCCAACUAAGUCAGACGUGAAAUCCCUCGGCUUAACCGGGGAACUGCAUCUGAUACUGGAUGGCUUGAGUUCGGGAGAGGGAUGCGGAAUUCCAGGUGUAGCGGUGAAAUGCGUAGAUAUCUGGAGGAACACCAAUUGCGAAGGCAGCUCGCUGGGACGUCACUGACGCUGAGACGCGAAAGCGUGGGGAGCAAACAGG